This 872-nucleotide long non-coding RNA is filed under the name Marmota monax (woodchuck). Lineage: Eukaryota; Metazoa; Chordata; Mammalia; Rodentia; Sciuridae. The record is from RNAcentral.
UCCUUGAUUGAGCAUUACUUGUUGAGUUAUUAUUCAUUGAUGAAUCAGUUUAUACAAUUUACUGUGAUAGCUAUCAAAGAAGCUAUAGUUUGGUUUUAUUUUUGUCUUCACUGGCACUGGGAGGAAGAUAGGAAUUCUGGCAAAGAUGGCUAAAAAAAUUAUAUAACAUUCCAACAGGUACUAAGAAAACAAUUCUCUGAACAAUUUACAUUAUCCUGAACAGAAUUAUUAAAUAAAAUGAAAAGGAAAGGUGAAAGUAAACAAACAGAUCUGUUAAGCUCCUUAUUUGUUCACAUAUUAAAACUAUCCCCAACAGCUGUUUACCCAAUUUAAAUUAAACCAUUUAAAUCACGUGAAUAAAAAAAUAUAUAUAUUUGGAUUCAUUUUUUCAUGAGCGCUCCCCAAAUAUUAUAUAUGACAUAUGCACAUAGAGACAUACAACACAAAACACAAGUGUGCACACAUAACAUACAAUACAUAAGACAAUAGUAAAGGCCUUGUAGUUUUACACAGGUGAAAUCUUCAUUGCAAUGUUUAAAAAAUCCACAGUCAAAAAAUAAAACUGAUCAGAAAAACAUUAACCUAGGUCUGUAUGAGCUCAAAAAACAAAAUACAACUUUAUGAUGUGAGAAAGGGCAAUAAUAGAAUAGAUAUUGAAAAAGACAUGCUGGUAACCACCUGGAUUUGACUCUUUUUUGGAUAUCCCAUCCUUUUCCCUGUAACUUGCAUAAUGGGUCUGAAGGUGUUUCCACAAGCAAGCCCCAAGCUUUUUUACAUUUGAAAUAGGCUUUAAUGGUGUUCAUUAUUCAUUAGCCUCCAGGUGUGGAAGGACCACUAUUGCAGAUGUAACAAUAGCCAAGCUGGAACUCAGG